Molecule: ribosomal RNA, 20 nt
Filed under: Kirramyces lilianiae
Lineage: Eukaryota; Fungi; Ascomycota; Dothideomycetes; Mycosphaerellales; Teratosphaeriaceae
Description: partial 18S ribosomal RNA
Source: RNAcentral
UCCUUAGGUGAACCUGCGGA